RNAcentral lists this transfer RNA (66 nucleotides) under Rhinebothrium sp. BT-2021. RNAcentral's name for it is "Rhinebothrium sp. MZUSP 8032 tRNA-His". The record is from RNAcentral. Lineage: Eukaryota; Metazoa; Platyhelminthes; Cestoda; Rhinebothriidea; Rhinebothriidae.
UUACUGGUAGGUUAUUGUUUAAACUGGCAAAUUGUGGUUUUGUUGAUUACAUUUUUUGUAUCAGUA